CUUGCUAACGGUGCUACGGAGGCCUCCAUUAUCAAUAAGAAGUAUCUUGGUAAAAUUUCGAGCGGCUGGAUUUAUGCGUUCGUCCGCUAUCGUGAUUUCCGCAAACGGAAGGCCAUGGCUAGAUCGACUGAGAAUGUCAAGGCGAACAAAAAUGGGGUCACUGAUCAAUAUUUCGAAGUGUUACAACCAGAUGAACUAGAUGCGUAUAACCCCCAUCCUAUGUUUUUGCAGGGAGUUCGUGCUCCGACUUUAAGUCCCUGUGCCAUUUUAGCCAUUUGCAUGAAUCAUUUCUCUACAUUUGUGAAUAAACAAGCUCACAUUUCCGGUGGUGAUGGAUGUUUUUUGUACUGCACUCCAUGUUUUCCUCCAGGCAGAUAUGAGCUAUUGCAGAGCCAUGGUUUUGGGGGACGCAGUUUCCAGGUGCCCACGAACGUAUGUGAGAACUUUUUCUUCAAAGAGAUCCAGCAGAUCAUCGUAUCCCAUGAAAUAAUUAUUACUGAGUUCCCCUUUCUCGAAUCAAAACUGAAUGCGGAAAUAACGGCAUCAUCUGUUCGCUACACGCUGCAACUUUGGCACUAAGAAAAGCAAAAUUCUCCCUCUUAGACGAUGGAUGUACCUGGUAAAUUGACUCACGAAUUAUUUUAUGACAUUAAACGUAAUAUUCCAACAAAUUUACCUACAUUCGAAAUAUCCAUUUGCGACCCUAUAAAUAUUCUUGACCGUCGCAAUAAAUCUAAGACGAUCUGGCCAUAUCCGUGCGUCUGUCUGUUGAAAUCA
Stomoxys calcitrans (stable fly) is the source of this 777-nucleotide long non-coding RNA. RefSeq lists it as uncharacterized. The record is from RefSeq and is a predicted model, not a curated record. NCBI's taxonomy places the organism in Eukaryota, Metazoa, Arthropoda, Insecta, Diptera, Muscidae. The transcript has 2 exons.